Molecule: ribosomal RNA, 253 nt
Filed under: uncultured bacterium
Lineage: Bacteria
Description: partial 16S ribosomal RNA
Rfam family: Bacterial small subunit ribosomal RNA
Source: RNAcentral
UACGGGGGGGGUAAGCGUUGUUCGGAAUUACUGGGCGUAAAGGGCUCGUAGGCGGCCAACUAAGUCAGACGUGAAAUCCCUCAGCUUAACUGGGGAACUGCGUCUGAUACUGGAUGGCUUGGAUUCGGGAGAGGAAUGCGGAAUUCCAGGUGUAGCGGUGAAAUGCGUAGAGAUCCGGAGGAACACCAGUGGCGAAGGCGACACGCUGGGCCGUACCUGACGCUAAAGCGCGACAGCAUGGGGAGCAAACGGG